This 924-nucleotide long non-coding RNA is filed under the name Sus scrofa (pig). Its description in RNAcentral is "lncRNA (ENSSSCG00070000434.1)". The record is from RNAcentral. Lineage: Eukaryota; Metazoa; Chordata; Mammalia; Artiodactyla; Suidae.
CCACCACCCGCUCUCCAGAUGAGGAAAGAGGCCUCCGAGGUGCCCAGCCCUGGUACAGUCAGACAAGGUGCCAGAGCUGGGACUCCUUGCUGCCCCCCUCCAGCCCAGGGGCCACUGAUCUCAUGGUGUGCUCCGCCUGUUUACUCUGCUUCUCCUCCACUUUGAGAGGCCAGGGGUCCAUUUGUCUUGUCACCAAGGGUCUCUAGUGUCUAUGCAGGCCCAGCCUGUGGGAGCCACUCAGUCAAUAUUUGUGCGAAGAAUGAGGGGCCGAGGUGCUGAGUCUGCCCGGUCUGGGCUCUGCCGGCAGGUUUCCCUGCAUAAGGGGCAGCCGGGGCUCCAGCGUCUUGCUGGCUGCUAGAAAGGGGGCUGGCUGGCUGGUAGGAAGAGGGCCGGGCCGGGUGGAGGACUGGCCUGGAAAGGGUCUGCUAGCAAAGCCCACCCCCAACCCUGCUCAAAGGUACAAGGAGCAGGGGCAAAUGAUUUAUCUCCGCACCUAAGAAGUAAAGGGAGCGAUGCGGGGGGUCGGGGGUCGCUAGGGGUGUGUCUUAGGGUUCUGGCACCGGAAAAAUGGUUGGCUCCUGUUCUGGGUUCUGGACGCCCCCCCCCUCCCCGCCCAACCCCGCGCCGGGUUGCACUGGUUGGGGAAAGGGUAGAGGAUAUCAGGGCCCAGACCGGUCCGGAGCUCCAGCCGGGGGGUGGGGUGGGGGGGGUGGAGGGGUACUCAAGCAGGAGGCCCUCGGUGAGCGCCCCCGGGGGGCGGGGGUGGGGAGGAGGGUGCGGAAAGAGGUGCACCCUCGCCCACCGGUCUUCCCAAACCCGGGGUGUGGGUGUGGCUCCCCCCAGGGAUUGGAUGGGUUGGCACAGGAGCCAGCUGCGGAGGAGGUGUCCCGAUCACUGGUGGCCGGUGCGCCCCGGACCAGGUAG